AUUACUCUCUGAUCAGAAAAUUAAUAUAAAAAUUUUUUUUUCCAUGAUUGCACGGACUGCUAUACCAUAAACUUAAAGGGCGCGCCUGUUAAGGUGAGACGUUAAUU
Molecule: long non-coding RNA, 107 nt
Organism: Pieris rapae (cabbage white)
Lineage: Eukaryota; Metazoa; Arthropoda; Insecta; Lepidoptera; Pieridae
Exons: 4
Source: RefSeq, a predicted model, not a curated record